CGAACGGGAGACCUUCGGGUCUCUAGUGGCGAACGGGUGAGUAACACGUAGGGAACCUGCCCGCGCACCGGGAAUACGCUCUGGAAACGGAGAACAAAUCCCGAUGUACAGGAAGGAGGCAUCUUCUUUCUGUGAAACGUCCUUUAGGGGAUGGGGCGCGGAUGGACCUGCGGUGCAUUAGUUGGUUGGCGGGGUAAAGGCCCACCAAGACGAUGAUGCAUAGCCGGCCUGAGAGGGCGGACGGCCACAUUGGGACUGAGACACGGCCCAGACUCCUGCGGGAGGCAGCAGUAGGGAAUUUUCGUCAAUGGGCGCAAGCCUGAACGAGCGAUGCCGCGUGAGUGAAGAAGGCCUUCGGGUCGUAAAGCUCUGUUGCGGGGGAAAAAAGGCAGCAUCAGGAAAUGGGUGCUGACUGAUGGUGCCCCGCCAGAAAGUCACGGCUAACUACGUGCCAGCAGCCGCGGUAAUACGUAGGUGGCGAGCGUUAUCCGGAAUGAUUGGGCGUAAAGGGUGCGCAGGCGGUCCUGCAAGUCUGGAGUGAAACGCAUGAGCUCAACUCAUGCAUGGCUUUGGAAACUGGAGGACUGGAGAGCAGGAGAGGGCGGUGGAACUCCAUGUGUAGCGGUAAAAUGCGUAGAUAUAUGGAAGAACACCAGUGGCGAAGGCGGCCGCCUGGCCUGUUGCUGACGCUGAGGCAC
Molecule: ribosomal RNA, 698 nt
Filed under: uncultured bacterium
Lineage: Bacteria
Description: bacterial SSU rRNA
Rfam family: Bacterial small subunit ribosomal RNA
Source: RNAcentral